CCCUUUUGGCUGGGGGUCCCCACUCCACACCAUGAGUGUCUCCACCCCCUUGCAGCUGUCUUAAAUAUGUCUGAGAAGGGGUAAUGUGUGCUCCUCCGAUGGCAUGCAAUCUUUUUUUUUUUUUUUUUUUUUCCCCUCCCCACAGUUAUUUUUAUCUGCUUUGUGGCAGGCUGAAGCCAAUUUCAACUGGCAUAUGGCAGUUCACAGUGUCCUCCCACACAGGUCACCAUUGCAGCCCCUGUUACUUAGAGCCUACGGUAUAUGCCCAUUACAGGGAUACAGAAAUGACCAGCUGAUUUGGAGAGAUGUGGAGUCUGAUCUGUCAGUCCACAGUGCAACAACAAAUGUGAAGGACAGGAGUGUGAAAAUGCCAACAAUAGAUUAUACAAUCCCUUCACGAACGUAUUAAUGGACUGGUAUUUUAUUCUGCAUGUGCUAAACUUUUGAUCAGUGUUUUGGACUUUCUGAUGAUAAAUUUACUGUAAAUCCAGUUAAAUAUUCUACCAUUUUGCAGAUUUGCAGAUUGCUUGUUUUUCUUGCACAGUAAUGGAUAGUGUCAUAUCAAUUUAUAGAAGAAAUAUUUACUAUAUCUUAAUUUUAUUUCCCAUAUCUUAUUUUUGAAAGUUAUGUUUUCAUCUCAAUUCAGAUAACUUCUUCACAAGGCAUUAAGUGAUGAGCUUGCUACUGUUCUAAACAUAGGGAUGUAUAGUGUGUGUUAAUUACCUAAAAUCUUGGUGAUUUUUCUGGAAAUUAGGUUUUGUAUGGUAGGUUUUUCCCUGUUUCUUAUGACUGUGUAAGAGUGCUUGACCUUUCAGUUGUAUUUAUUUUUGCAUGCUGAUAAAUUCACAGGAUACACUGUCCUUUACCGUGUAUUGUGAUUUUUACUGUUAUUAAUACAAGAUGAUUUACCUUAAACAGUGCAUUUUUACUUGRGUACAGUAGAUAAGGGAAAAGUAUUAUAAGUCAUCCCUGCUCCUUCUCACUCCUCUCAUUCUUACCUUGGUUAUUGAUUACUCACAGUGCAUUCUUCUCAGGGUGUAGUUUAUUCUCUGCAAUGGUGCUGCUCCUCCUUUUUGCAGCCUAAAUAAAAGGGUUAGUUAAUAAAUCUAUUUUAAAAGC
This 1119-nucleotide long non-coding RNA is filed under the name Apteryx rowi (Okarito brown kiwi). Its description in RNAcentral is "lncRNA (ENSARWG00000015616.1)". Lineage: Eukaryota; Metazoa; Chordata; Aves; Apterygiformes; Apterygidae. The record is from RNAcentral.